AUUGAACGCUGGCGGCAGGCCUAACACAUGCAAGUCGAGCGGUAGCACAGAGAGCUUGCUCUCGGGUGACGAGCGGCGGACGGGUGAGUAAUGUCUGGGAAACUGCCUGAUGGAGGGGGAUAACUACUGGAAACGGUAGCUAAUACCGCAUAACGUCGCAAGACCAAAGUGGGGGACCUUCGGGCCUCAUGCCAUCAGAUGUGCCCAGAUGGGAUUAGCUAGUAGGUGGGGUAACGGCUCACCUAGGCGACGAUCCCUAGCUGGUCUGAGAGGAUGACCAGCCACACUGGAACUGAGACACGGUCCAGACUCCUACGGGAGGCAGCAGUGGGGAAUAUUGCACAAUGGGCGCAAGCCUGAUGCAGCCAUGCCGCGUGUGUGAAGAAGGCCUUCGGGUUGUAAAGCACUUUCAGCGGGGAGGAAGGCGAUAAGGUUAAUAACCUUGUCGAUUGACGUUACCCGCAGAAGAAGCACCGGCUAACUCCGUGCCAGCAGCCGCGGUAAUACGGAGGGUGCAAGCGUUAAUCGGAAUUACUGGGCGUAAAGCGCACGCAGGCGGUCUGUCAAGUCGGAUGUGAAAUCCCCGGGCUCAACCUGGGAACUGCAUUCGAAACUGGCAGGCUAGAGUCUUGUAGAGGGGGGUAGAAUUCCAGGUGUAGCGGUGAAAUGCGUAGAGAUCUGGAGGAAUACCGGUGGCGAAGGCGGCCCCCUGGACAAAGACUGACGCUCAGGUGCGAAAGCGUGGGGAGCAAACAGGAUUAGAUACCCUGGUAGUCCACGCCGUAAACGAUGUCGAUUUGGAGGUUGUGCCCUUGAGGCGUGGCUUCCGGAGCUAACGCGUUAAAUCGACCGCCUGGGGAGUACGGCCGCAAGGUUAAAACUCAAAUGAAUUGACGGGGGCCCGCACAAGCGGUGGAGCAUGUGGUUUAAUUCGAUGCAACGCGAAGAACCUUACCUGGUCUUGACAUCCACAGAACUUUCCAGAGAUGGAUUGGUGCCUUCGGGAACUGUGAGACAGGUGCUGCAUGGCUGUCGUCAGCUCGUGUUGUGAAAUGUUGGGUUAAGUCCCGCAACGAGCGCAACCCUUAUCCUUUGUUGCCAGCGGUUAGGCCGGGAACUCAAAGGAGACUGCCAGUGAUAAACUGGAGGAAGGUGGGGAUGACGUCAAGUCAUCAUGGCCCUUACGACCAGGGCUACACACGUGCUACAAUGGCAUAUACAAAGAGAAGCGACCUCGCGAGAGCAAGCGGACCUCAUAAAGUAUGUCGUAGUCCGGAUUGGAGUCUGCAACUCGACUCCAUGAAGUCGGAAUCGCUAGUAAUCGUAGAUCAGAAUGCUACGGUGAAUACGUUCCCGGGCCUUGUACACACCGCCCGUCACACCAUGGGAGUGGGUUGCAAAAGAAGUAGGUAGCUUAACCUUCGGGAGGGCGCUUACCACUUUGUGAUUCAUGACUGGGGUGA
This 1463-nucleotide ribosomal RNA is filed under the name uncultured Klebsiella sp. RNAcentral describes it as "bacterial SSU rRNA". It matches the Rfam family "Bacterial small subunit ribosomal RNA". Lineage: Bacteria; Pseudomonadati; Pseudomonadota; Gammaproteobacteria; Enterobacterales; Enterobacteriaceae. The record is from RNAcentral.